GACGUAGGGCGCGAGCGUUGUCCGGAAUCAUUGGGCGUAAAGAGCGUGUAGGCGGCUCGAUAAGUCUGCUGUGAAAGUCCAGGGCUCAACCCUGGAAGGCCGGUGGAAACUGUCGGGCUAGAGUCCGGAAGAGGCGAGUGGAAUUCCCGGUGUAGCGGUGAAAUGCGCAGAUAUCGGGAGGAACACCAAUGGCGAAGGCAGCUCGCUGGGACGGUACUGACGCUGAGACGCGAAAGCGUGGGGAGCAAACAGG
Molecule: ribosomal RNA, 253 nt
Filed under: uncultured bacterium
Lineage: Bacteria
Description: partial 16S ribosomal RNA
Rfam family: Bacterial small subunit ribosomal RNA
Source: RNAcentral